This is a long non-coding RNA of Camellia sinensis, 1098 nucleotides long. RefSeq lists it as uncharacterized. The record is from RefSeq and is a predicted model, not a curated record. NCBI's taxonomy places the organism in Eukaryota, Viridiplantae, Streptophyta, Magnoliopsida, Ericales, Theaceae.
UUAAAAAAAAAAGGGUAAAUGCAAUAACUAUAUUUGGUUAAUUACUACAUUACACUUUUUCUUUAAUUUUCUAUUUUCUAUUUUCUAUUUUCAUUUAUAUAUAACAUAUAUUAAAAGCAGGUAAGUGUAAUAGACGGGGAAAUUUGUGAAUCUAACGCUUCGUAUAUGACUUCAGUAUCCUCAAAACUCUCUCAAAUUACCUGGGUUCACCCACCGCCCGUGACCAUUGAUGCAAAUCUGAAGCCAUAUGGGCUUGCAAUCUAUCGGCCACGUGGUCUCACGAAAGACAACUAGCAGCAUCGAUGGUGUGCUACGUAAAUGACUCAUCUCAUCAGUUGAAGAAUAAAUACAGAGAACUGCACGUCCACCGCCAUCCAUUCUACUCAAGGCCAUCACGGAUUCAUGACAAUGGUCUUGUUGGGCAUACAAAACUUGUGCAUAGAAGCUAUUUGAGGAUUUGUCAAAGAGACUAAUACUUCAUUGGCUCCAAGGAUUUCCCCUCUUGUUUGUAACAAGAAACCACAAGAAUUCGGCAAGUCAGGUGUUUGAAGAUAUUUCCGUGAGACAACCCACCAAUCCAGUGCUGAUGAAAAAAUUAUUGUAUACGAGUAUGCAAGAAUAGAACAAUCCAUCUUCUUAGUACCCAAAAGGCAGAAAAAGUAAGUGAAGAAAAAUUUAGAAUUGAUAAUAAAUAAGUCCAAUUAAUAGGUCUAAUUGGUAAGUAUUCCCUUUUUCUAUUUUAUUUUUUAUUUUUAUAAAGAGGUGAUGCUUAAUUAGAAUUUAACGCUCUCUCGAACUCAAAUUUUUAUAGCUAAUCAACUCUAUUUGUAGAUUGAUAUUAUGACCCUAAAAUUAUCUAAAAACACUUUAAUAAUAUUAUAUAUUGUGAUGUAUCUUAUUCUCAGUCAAUAAUAGAGCGACUCCCACGCGCGGGCACGUGGGAAUCCAACUAGUAUAUAUAUGUAUUUGUUACACACGAUCCUACUGCCCCACUCGUGCCCUUGGCAUAUUACAACAUGUUUGUGUGUAUAUAUUAAUAAAUAUUAUUAUUAUUACCACACUAUAUUACACCAAUAUGAUUAUAUCCAUAAAAAAAAA